This 253-nucleotide ribosomal RNA is filed under the name uncultured bacterium. Its description in RNAcentral is "partial 16S ribosomal RNA". It matches the Rfam family "Bacterial small subunit ribosomal RNA", at positions 524 to 776 of the family's 1533-position model. The record is from RNAcentral.
UACGGAGGGUGCAAGCGUUAUCCGGAUUUACUGGGUUUAAAGGGUGCGUAGGCGGGCAUUUAAGUCAGUGGUGAAAUACCUGAGCUUAACUUGGGAACUGCCAUUGAUGCUAUUUGUCUUGAAUGUCGUGGAGGUUAGCGGAAUAUGUCAUGUAGCGGUGAAAUGCUUAGAUAUGACAUAGAACACCUAUUGCGAAGGCAGCUAACUACGCGAAUAUUGACGCUGAGGCACGAAAGCGUGGGGAUCAAACAGG